AUGCCAAGUUACUUAUAUAAUAAGUUACUUGAGACUUAAGUGAUCUGAUUGAUAAGUGUUUGAUACUUAUAAUAAUUUUUACAAGUACAAAUGUACCAUUACAUCCCCUUCCAAAUAACACCAUGCGGAUAAAAACUUACACAUAUCUUUAUUUUAUUGAAAAGGAACGCCACGAUGGUAGAUGUAUUUGUGCCAUAUAAAUACUUAGACUGAAAUUGAGUUCAUCCAGCAUUUGCUCCUCCACUGUCUGGCAAUCAAAUAUGAGGAUAAAGACCACUUGAAAAUGUUAUACUAAUUCAAAAGGAAUGGAAUCAUUUAAUUUCUGUUUAUAAUUUUUUUUUUAGGUAAAUUACAUAAAACUACCUCAACUAUUGGUCUUACGACACUAUCAUACCUCAUCUUUUAAAAUUGACAAUGUCAUACCUCAUCUUACGAAUUUGGUCCAAUGUCAGACCUCCGUCAGUUUGUCUGUUAAUUUUUCUGUUAAAUGUUGACCUGACUUGAGACGGGACCUAUUUCCCGACCAAGUGGAUAAAAAUAUUAAUAAAUUAAAAAUAAAUUAUUUUAAUAUUUUUAUUUUAAAACAUGUGGGACCCAUCCCCUAUAAUUCUCUCCCUUUCUCCUCUUUUUCUUCCUGAUCCGUUCCAACCCUCCAUUUCUUCCCUUUCUCCAUCCGUUCCCUCUCUCUCUCUCUCUCUCUCUCUCUCUCUUUCUCUUUCUCUCUCUCUCUCUCCUAUCUCUCUCACCUUCACCUACGCCUUUAUUCUUCACCCUCACCUUCAUCCAUUCUUCACCUCCAUUUUUCACCUUCUUCCUUCAUCCAUUCUUCACCGUUUUAUUUAAAAAAAUUUGGACAAAAAAAAACCUAGAUUUUUUUUUUUUUUGGCAGCGGCAAAGGAGGCCCUGACAACAAGAAGUUCAGGUACUGCGGCGUGUGUCAGCGGAGCUGGGGCAAAUGGGUAGCUGAGCUCCGCGAGCCGCGUAAACACACUCGCAAGUGGCUGGGGACCUUCACCACUAUCGAGGAUGCUACCCGCGUCUACGACCGGGCUGCCAUCAUCCUCUACAAUUCUAGAGCAUAGCUCAACCUCUAGCCCUCCGGUUCCUUGUCCCAAAACUCCACACGUGGCUCCUCUUCUUCAUCCUCAUCGUCUAGCUCCUCCACCGAAACCCUAAGACCCCUUCUCCCUCGCCCUCCGGCUUCGGCCUUACUUUUUUUUUUAAGUUUUAAAUUGUAGAUUGUCGUUGCCCAGAGAGAGAGAGGAGAGAGUGGGUGGUGGAGGAAGGUUAGGGGGACGAGUGAGGAAGGGUUUGGUGGCUUGAAGGAGGAGGAUUUGGUGCAGAGGAGGUGGGUGAGAGAUGGAUUCGGAUCAGGAAGAGGAAGAAAAAAGGAGAAAGGGAGAUAAUUGUAGGGGUGGGUCCCACAUGUAUUUUGAUUCUUAGGUGAGUUUAGAGGAUUGAGUUUGGGGGGAAUUGGGGUUUUCUGUUUGAAAUUGGGGAAUUAGGGUUAGGGUUAGGGUUUGGUUUGAAGAUCUUCGAAAGGGAGGGGGUUCUGGAACAGAAAGAGGGACAAAGGUAGGGGACAGGAAAAGGUGGGUGUUGGGGGCUGCGUGGAGAAUUGCAGAUGAAUAAAAAGGAGGGGGUUCUGGGAUUUUGGGAUGCAGAUGCCCAGAGAGAGAAGAGAGAGAGGCAAUAAAGAAGGUUGGAACGGAUCAGGAAGUAAAAAUGGAGAUAAUUUUAGGGGAAAUGGGUUCCGUCUCAAGUCACGUCAGCACUUAACAGAGAAAUUAACAGAAAAACUGAUGAAGGUUUGACAUUGGACCAAAUUCGUAAAAUGAGGUAUGCCGUUGUCAAUUUUAAAAGAUGAUGUAUGAUAGUAUCGUGAGACCAAUAGUUCAAGUAGUUUUUUGUUAUUUACCCUUUUUUUUUUAAGAGUUUUAAUGAAACACUCAUGGUACUGUUCACUUUUAACGAAAAACCACAUUUUUACCUUUCUCUGGUAAUAUUCACUACA
Pyrus x bretschneideri (Chinese white pear) is the source of this 2014-nucleotide long non-coding RNA. RefSeq lists it as uncharacterized. The record is from RefSeq and is a predicted model, not a curated record. The transcript has 2 exons. Lineage: Eukaryota; Viridiplantae; Streptophyta; Magnoliopsida; Rosales; Rosaceae.